ACAUUUUAGAGUUCUCCAGAUGAAUUUACACCUGGAAUCCAUGGUCAGGAGAACAGCGGAGAGUACCGGUUCCAGUGCCCCCGUGCAGGUCUGUUCCAAUGCAGUAUAACAGGCCUGGUGUUUAGGAUGGAGGGAGAGGGAGAGGUGUUCUAUAAGACAGUCCACUGGGACAGGAGGCUUCUAUCCCAGAAUGGCAAGAGACCUGCAGGACCCCUGUUCAAGUUUACAUGCCUUAAUGGGUCUGUCUGUCAACUACACCUCCCACACUGUGAGAUCUACAAUAGUGGUGGAUGUGACUUCCUGUCUGUAGCCCAUGUGACUGAUGACAACAUAGAGUUUCUCCCUCCUCUUGAGAUAACAGAAACCCACAUCAUAAUAAACAUCAGUGGAUUCUCUGCUUAUGGUGAAGUCAAGGAUGAAGACUCUCCCACCAUUCCUAUACGAGCACUUGUCUUGUUGUUCUACAAACCCCCAGUUGUUCCUAAAAAGAGGUCCAUCCUGAAUGUGUUGUUGCUUCCCAGAAAUGUUGUGAUCAGAGAGGUAAGACCAUCUGAAAUGUUGUGAUCAGGGAGGUAAGACCAUCUGAAAUGUUGUGAUCAGGGAGGUAAGACCAUCUGAAAUGUUGUGAUCAGGGAGGUAAGACCAUCUGAAAUGUUGUGAUCAGGGAGGUAAGACCAUCUGAAAUGUUGUGAUCAGAGAGGUAAGACCAUCUGAAAUGUUGUGAUCAGGGAGGUAAGACCAUCUGAAAUGUCAACUCUACUU
Molecule: long non-coding RNA, 762 nt
Organism: Salvelinus namaycush (lake trout)
Lineage: Eukaryota; Metazoa; Chordata; Actinopteri; Salmoniformes; Salmonidae
Exons: 3
Source: RefSeq, a predicted model, not a curated record